Molecule: long non-coding RNA, 4684 nt
Filed under: Sus scrofa (pig)
Lineage: Eukaryota; Metazoa; Chordata; Mammalia; Artiodactyla; Suidae
Description: lncRNA (ENSSSCG00055017779.1)
Source: RNAcentral
GCAGGGACCGAACCCGCAACCUCAUGGUUCCUAGUCGGAUUCGUUAACCACUGCGCCACGACGGGAACUCCUGGAUUGGUGUCCUUCAAGGCCGCCUGGAGAACUGGGUCUACUGCUUCCCCGACUGUUUCCAUUCAGGAAACACAACAAAGCAACGGCGAGCCAACAGUAGAAGCCCAGAAGAAAUGCACAAUGUGGAGUUCCCGUCGUGGCGCAGCAGAAAUGAAUCCAACUAGGAACCGUGAGGUUGUGGGUUCGAUCCCUGGCCUUGCUCAGUGGGCUACGGAUCCGGCGUUGCCAUGAGCUGUGGUGUAGGUUGCAGAUGUGGCUCAGAUCCCGAGUUGCUAUGACUGUGGUGUAGGCCGGCGGCUACAGCUCUGAUUCGACCCCUAGCCUGAGAACCUCCAUAUGCUGUGGGAGAGGCCCUAGAAAAGACAAAAAAAAAAAAAAGAGAGAGAGAAAGAAAAAAGAAACGCACAAUGUGCUAACAAGGGGCCUUGGUGCUUCUGCUGGCCCCACACGUGACACCCUCGCUUCUAAGAGGCCUGGGGGUCACCUAAUCAACCUGCCAAUGAGCCUGGGGGAUUCUGGAUCAACUCUGACGGCCAUCGUCACUGUGCCUCUCACCUGGAAAUGCCUUCUUCGCUUCCACUGGGAUGCUGGCUAACUAAGCACUGACUGCACAGACUCACUGAUUCACCCUGAAUUUGGCACCUGUUACGACUCAGCCACUCCACUGGGGACACAAACAUCAACAAAACCUACUUUAUACCCCUCUAGAGCUUCACCAUCAAAUUAAAUGUAGGCUCAAGUAAAAUAAAAAAAGGCAGAAAAGGAAUUAAGAUUUGUUGAGCCCUUAAGUUACAGAAACUGAGUAUGUUUCAGCUUUUUAUUUUAUUUGUUUAUUUCUAGGCAUAUUUAUUUAUUUGUUUCUAGCCACACCUGCAGCAUAUGGACGUUCCCAGGCCAGGGAUCGAAUCUGAGCCGCUGCUACGACCUUUGCCAUAGCUGAGGCUAUGCCAGAUCCUUGACCCACUGUACCACAGGGGGAGCUCCCUAUUUCAGCUGUUUAAUCUUCUUAAUUGCAUUUAUUUCUUGGAGAACUAUUAUCCCCUUUAUUUUAUGCACAAGAAAACUGGGUCUCAAAUUCACCUACCUUGAGCGGAAAAAAAGAGCCACCGGCAAAUGAGGAGUGCCCACCACACCACCAAGGGCAGCCCCUUUCUGCUACCUCAAUUGGCUUUGUCUGCCCACCUCAUUCAGAGUUUCCAACCACAGAAUGUUAUAGAAGGAAUGGGUGACUAGCUUCCGCGUACUUAGAAAACAAAAAUCACAAUGGCUAGGAGCCGGCAAAUGUUGACGAACAACAACCCUCAUUAGGCAAGCCUUACUCUCUUUGGGAAUGGUUACUGCACUGGUAGAUCAAGGAACGAGGUAAACACACUUGUCGGGACAACGAGGUGGUUGCUUGACUUGUUUCCUCCUUCCAUACUUGCUCCUGAUCCCACAGCUUUUCCCACAAAACAGCUAGCGCUUUUCCUUCUUUUGCUCGUCCCUCCCUCUCUUCCUUCCUUUCAGUCUUAACAUUUAAGAGUUCAAUCAAAGCACGUCCCCCUCGUGCUCAACACCUGCCACUGGACGCCCCCAACUCUCACGGGCAAGUGGGAAAGCGUGACGCCUUCCCCGUAGUACGUGCGUCCCCGCGUGACCCGUGAGCGCCUGCCUUGCCCCGAGCUCAGGUGCACAGUCUCCAGCGGAUCCCAGGAGGCGCUUUGGAACCUCUGCCUCCGUCGUUCCCUCCGCCCGGAACACCACCCUCCGACACCCCCACGCGCACACCUUCACCCCAUCCGGGUUUCUGCUCAAAUGCCACCUCCUCAGAGAAGCUGUUUCAGAUCAUCCCUCCAACCCCUCACCCUCCCACUUUUCUUACUUAGGAUUUUAGCAUUUCCUACCACACCUCAUUACAUACAUCUAUGUGUGUACGUGGUCUGCUUGCCCCAACUAGACCAGAAUCCCCCCUGAGGGCGGGGGCUCUGUUUCCUAUUUCUGGGGACUGGACGGGGACAGGGCUCAGCACACACCAAGCUGAAUGAAGAAUGAAUGAGUCUGGAUUUCAGUCAAGUCUCAGAGGAGACCUCUCACCCUUGUGGAGGAGCUGAUUGAUAGAAGUUGAAGGACUGAAUAAGCUGAUUUAUAACAGUAUAAGCAACAGAACCUCAAGGAUCCUAAUCCAUGAUGUGAUAACCUGGAGAGAUAUUUAGAGCAUGAUUUUGAAAGUGGCUGUAAGAGGUGAGGACUGAGGCCGCCCAGAGGAAAGCAAUACACAACAGCUGCAAUGAUGGGUGGAGGGAGCGGGUAUCAAAUUUUACCUUGAGGGACCCCUCCCACACUGCUAGUGAGCACGUAAAUUGGCACAACCGUUAUGGAGAACAGUAUGGAGGUUCCUUGAAAAAUUAGACAUAGGAGUUCCCGCUGUGGCACAGUGCGUUAAGAAUUCAACUGCAGCAGCUAAUGUUGCUGCAGAGGCAUGGAUUUGAUUCCUGGUCUAAUGCAGUGGGUUAAAGGAGCCAAUGUUGCCACAGCUGCGGCAUAGGUCAUAGCUGUGGCUCGGCUUAAAUUUCUGGGCAGAGAACUGUCCAAUGUCACAGGUGUGGUCAUAAACAAACAAACAAAUGAGGAGUUCCCUUUGUGGGUCAGUGGAAAUGAACCCAACAAUUAUCCAUGAGGAUGUGGGUUUGGUCCCUGGCCUCCUGCAGUGGGUUAAGGACCUGGCGUUGCUGUGGCUAUGGUGCAUGCCAGCAGCUGAAGCUCUGACUGGACCCCUAGCCAGGGAACUUCCAUAUGCUGUGGGUGCAGCCCUAAAAAAGUAAAAAACAAAACAAAACAAAAAACAAACCAAAAAACCCCCAAAACAUAGAUCCAGCAAUCCCACUCCUGGGCAUAUAUCCAGAGAAAACCAUAAUGUGAAAAGAUACAUGCACCCCAAUGUUCACAGCAGCACUAUUUACAAUCGUCAAGAUGUGGAAGCAACCUGAAUGUCCAUCAACAGAGGAAUGGCUAAAGAAGAUGUAGUACAUAUACACAAUGGAAUAUUACUCAGUCAUAAAAAAGAAUGGAAUCAUGCCAUUUGCAGCAACAUGGGUGGACCUACAGAUGAUCAUACCUAGAGAUGAUCAUAAGUGAAGCAAAUCAGAUAAAGGCAAUCAUAUGAUAUCAGUUAUAUGUGGAAUCUUAAAAAUGGAUACAAAUGAACUAAUUUACAAAACAGAAACAGACUCACAGGUUUUGAAAACAAACUUAUGGUUACCAAAGGGAAAGGAAGGGGGGGGAGGAAAAAUUAGUAGUUUGGGUUUAACAUAUACACACUAUUAUAUAUAAAAUAGUUAAUCAACAGGCACCUACUGAAUAGCACAGAGAACUCUAAUAAAUAUUCUGUAAUAACCUAUAUGGGGAAAGAAUCUUAAAAAGAAUGGAUAUACGUAUAUGUGUAACUGAACCAUUAUGUUAUACACCUGAAAAUAACACAACGUUGGAAAUCAACUAGACUCCAAUAUAAAAUAAAAAUUAAAUAAAAAGUUAGACCUUGAGGGGGAUCAGAAUACGCUCCUUCAAAAUGCACCACUUUGGCUCAAGGAUUAUUUUGAGAUGAAGGCAAUUCAGCAUCAACAGAUGCACGAAGCGUUUUCUGCUCUCCCCUUACCUGCCCAAACCAGGGCAUAUAUUUCCUCGUGAAGGUGUCUCUGUCUCCCAAACCAGGAACAGGAGAGAAACUCAUCCCCAGAAGUGGACAUUCAACACCAAAAUAGGUCUAUAAAAACAUACCUCACUAAACCAGCCCUUAUCUUCCAUUAGUGUUCACUAUAUAUUUUCUUGUCACUCCCCUUAUUUAGAGCCCAAACUCCCUUUCCUUUGUUGAAAAAAAAUAAGCCCUUGUGUCGAACCACUUCUUUGAGCUUCACUUCUUUUCUGUCAACUCUUGUGCAUGUGAAAUUAAUAAAACUGGAUGCCUUGGAGUUCCCGUCGUGGCUCAGUGGAACCAUGAGGUUGCGGGUUUGAUCCCUGGCCUGGCUCAGUGGGUUAAGGAUCCGGCGUUGCCAUGAGCCGUGGUGUAGGUCACAGACUCAGCUCGGAUCCCGUGUUGCUGUGGCUCUGGCGGAGGCAACGGCUACAGCUCCGAUUAGACCCCUAGCCUGGGAACCUCCAUAUGCUGCGGGUGUGGCCCUAUAAGAACAAACAAACAAAAAAAAAAACUGGAUGUCUUGUCUCCUGUUCCACCUUUCUUUGGCUAGUUUAAUUUGCAGGUUCCCUGAGACUAAUCCUAGGAGGGUAGAGGAAAAGUUUCUCCUCCCCAACAACCUUCACGUCACCGUCAAUCCACGUGCCUUUCGAGUCCACUUUAUUUAGUGCUUGGCCAGAUCACCAGGAACAUAUUUAAUUCAAUGCGUGCUCUACUUUUUAAGAGCUAUAUUUAUAGCUCACUCAGAUAGGAGGAAUCAGCCUAAGGGCACAAAAAGACAUGUCAUAUGAGGACUUAGGGAUUUUCAGCCUGGAAAAGAAAAGAUUGAAAGAAGGAGGUGAGCACAGACUCUCCAGGGGAUGGAGAGGUAGAAAGAACUGGCAACAAAGACCUAAUGCGAAAGCAGGGCAGACCUCAGGGUACUUAUAUCAGAAGAUUUUUUUC